AAAAUCCAUCUUAUAAUUCUUUUCAAUCAUAGCAUUACCCUAUUCACUUUUUAAUUUAUUGAAAUGCAAAAUAAUUUUUAAUCAAAGUUCUCACAGGUUUCGUUCAAUAUAAUUUGGUCAAUCUUCUAAACCUAAUUAUCUAUAAAGCAUAUAUGAUUAUAUUUUAUAUGAAUAUGAAAUCAUUAUAUCGAUUUCUAUAAAUUAUGUUCUAUUAAUUAACCAACAUGUAUUCAAACUUGUCUAAAGAUACAACAAAAUUUCCAUCAUUUUUUGUGCCUAGGCCGUUUAUUUGUUUUAUUAAUGAUAACACUAUUUUCAUUCUGUUAUCAAUCACACAGUGUGAUUGAGAGUGGAAAAGCUGAGCUUUGCUUUUGCAUUUGCUCUGAAACGAGUGUAUAAUUUCCAUUCUUCUAAUUCCCUUGCGAAAUGUUGUUUAAUAAAUUAAAGGAUUGUUGGUCUGGUUCAGAGCUUCAUCAAACCUGAUCGAACUACCCAAUUAUAUCAUUUGUAUUUCAGACAAACCAAGCUUAUGUCGAGCAGAAACGAAAUACAGUUCCAAUAGGGGGGGCUUUGCUGGUUUUGUUUUUUUUUUCUCUUGUUGAUAUGUUGCUCUCUUUCUCAACUUGUGGCAAAUCAAACUUUGUAGGAACAAAAUUGACAUGGUCAAUUGUGGUCUUGUGAAGUGAAAACAUGAUCUGUUGUUUUUGUCUAUUCUCCAUUACUCUUUCGUCCUUUAGAUAUAUAUAUUUAUGAAGUACUAAAUGAUCUGUGCAUAAGCAGCAAGACUUUAGGAACAAGAACUUGUGUAUACACAAAAAGUAUGCAGGACUAACACACUAUGGCUGUGGAAAAUAUGUGAUGUUUUGUCUUUGUAUUUGAGUCGCCAAGUCUUAGGAUACCUCUUGUACUUCUUCUUACUUGUGACCCUUUUGAGAAUUUUGAUCCCACAGUUGAUGUACACAAAAAAGCUUCAAUAUAGUUGUCUCAUUAUUUGUGUGUCUGAGGCUAACAUCCGUCAUCUUAUUCACACCGGCGUCGUCCUUACCGAUGAUAAUACGCACCAAAGCAUCAGACCCAGAAACAUCAUUGGCAACAGACCACAUUCCAUUAAUCUUCUCCACCAGUAUGUCGUCAUCCUCAUGCACAUUGUUCCUCAUCAACAAAGGUUUAUUUCUUAUCUGCAGCCAACCCACUCUGAUUGCAUUCUGAUGAGAUAGUAAUCACGUUAACAUUGGUCAACGAACGGGACCUGGUAAGCAGUGUCUCAUUGUUCUUUUAAUUAUUUAUUUUAAUGAGUUUUGUUGUUAAUAGUGGAGACUGAUUCUUCCUAAUGUUUAGGAACUUAAUCAUCCCACUUUUCCCAUUUCAUCGUUGUAUAUCAUGAUCCCACAAUUGCUUCUUGUAACUUUUAUCUAUUUAUUAAUUAUACGAGUACAAGAUAAGUUAAUUUUGUUGUUUUUGCUGCUUUAUAAUCAUGAAAUGCAUAAUACUUUACAAUCGUUAGUUGUGUUGUUAAUUUCAAAUCGAAAAAAAAACUACUGAAAAUCUUUAGAUCUUUGAGUAUUAAAUAUCUAGGAUGAAUAAAUUUUGGAAAUUGUUUUGUCAUAACUACCUCUUAUCUAUUAAAGUAGAUUUUAUCUGUUAAAAUAAAAGUUAUGAAUUAUUUCAUUUGUGAUUUUUGAUUUUGGACCAUUUUUUAGAAUAUCAUCUUAUCUAUUAAAAUAAAAACCAUGAUUUUUUCAAGUGUAAUAUUUUAUUUUAGACUAUCUCCUAAAAAAUUAUUACAUUUAAUGGUUCUGUCGUUUUCCAUAUAUUCUACCUAAUAAUGCAAAAUACUAAAACAAGAUUUACCUACAAUCUCGCCGCUCUAUACUUUUUCUCUUCAUUAACAAUAGUCAUCUAAAAUAAGCAAAUGAUUAAUAAAGGUACCAGCAUUUAUUUCAUAGGCAUAAAGGUACCAUCUUAAACUUCUUUCGUUUAUGUUCAAUUCUUUUUUCAUGAAAUAAUGAAGCUUGAUCUCUCUUUUUUUCAAUUCUUAAAUUACACGAAUCUAAAGCUUGAUUUUAUAACAUAAUUUUAUAAAGCAUACAUUUACAAUCACGUAAAUGUCAUGCAUUCCAUAAUAUGUUUUUCAUUCCACAAAAAUUAAAAGUGGUAAACAUGUAAUUUUCUAUUCUAAAUUUACGUCAGCUAAUAUAUAAUUACCAAAAUGAAAUUUAUAUAACACUCAAUUAUAUAAAAUAAUUUAUUUUGAAAUCUCUAUCUGCUUGAAAUUUAUAUAAUACUUAUUAUUUAUUUACUAUAUAUAUCUAAAAAUAGUAUAAUAAAAUGUCUAUAUAUUUUUGAAGAACAAAAAGAUUACAGAAUACGAAAAUAUAUUAUAGUUAUCAACGGGUUUUACUGACAAAUAAAUAUGAGAUGACAAAUAAACAUAUUAACUCAUAUCCAUUAUAAAAUAUUAAAACAAAUUUUGAUCAAUACAAGACACGUUAAAAAUGAAUUAUCUCAUUUGAGUUAUAAAUUAUUACAAAUAAGACUAUAAACAAUGUGUGUUUCAAAAAAGGUGUUUCAAAAAAAAGACUAAACAA
Molecule: long non-coding RNA, 2588 nt
Organism: Brassica rapa (field mustard)
Lineage: Eukaryota; Viridiplantae; Streptophyta; Magnoliopsida; Brassicales; Brassicaceae
Source: RefSeq, a predicted model, not a curated record